ACAGAGGUCCCAAGCGUUGUCCGGAAUCACUGGGCGUAAAGGGCGCGUAGGUGGCGACCCAAGUCAAUGGUGAAAGCUCGAUGCUCAACAUCGAGUCGGCCACUGAUACUGGGUUGCUCGAGCACUGUAGAGGCAGAUGGAAUUCCGGGUGUAGCGGUGGAAUGCGUAGAGAUCCGGAAGAACACCGGUGGCGAAGGCGGUCUGCUGGGCAGUUGCUGACACUGAGGCGCGACAGCGUGGGGAGCAAACAGGA
This 253-nucleotide ribosomal RNA is filed under the name uncultured prokaryote. Its description in RNAcentral is "partial 16S ribosomal RNA". It matches the Rfam family "Bacterial small subunit ribosomal RNA", at positions 525 to 777 of the family's 1533-position model. The record is from RNAcentral.